This 253-nucleotide ribosomal RNA is filed under the name uncultured bacterium. RNAcentral's name for it is "partial 16S ribosomal RNA". It matches the Rfam family "Bacterial small subunit ribosomal RNA", at positions 524 to 776 of the family's 1533-position model. The record is from RNAcentral.
UACGGGGGGGGCAAGCGUUGUUCGGAAUUAUUGGGCGUAAAGCGCGUGUAGGCGGCUUUGCAAGUCGGGUGUGAAAGCCCUCAGCUUAACUGAGGAAGUGCGCCCGAAACUGCAGAGCUUGAGUACCGGAGAGGAUGGUGGAAUUCCCCAAGUAGAGGUGAAAUUCGUAGAUAUGGGGAGGAACACCGGUGGCGAAGGCGACCAUCUGGACGGAUACUGACGCUGAGACGCGAAAGCGUGGGUAGCAAACAGG